CUAAGAUGGUCGUCUACGCGGUGCUCCUCCUCCUGCCCAUGCUAACGGCGACUUCUGUGGCAGUUGAUCAAGGCAGCAUGGUGUCCAACUCACCCGGCGAAUGGUGCUGGCCAGGAAUGGGUUACCCGGUGUACCCGUUCCCGCGUUGUCGUGCACUGGUGAAGAGCCAGUGCGCCGGCGGCCAGGUCGUCGAGAGCAUCCAGAAGGACUGUUGUCGCCAGAUCGCCGCCAUCGGCGAUGAAUGGUGCAUAUGUGGUGCGCUAGGCUCAAUGCGGGGGAGCAUGUACAAGGAGCUCGGUGUGGCGUUGGCAGACGAUAAGGCGACGGUCGCGGAAGUGUUCCCUGGGUGUCGGACGGAAGUGAUGGAUCGCGCCGUGGCGAGCCUCCCAGCGGUAUGCAAUCAGUACAUCCCUAAUACUAAUGGCACCGACGGUGUUUGCUACUGGCUCUCGUACUAUCAGCCACCCAGGCAAAUGAGUAGUAGAUGAUGUGAUUGCAUGACAUCU
This 506-nucleotide long non-coding RNA is filed under the name Hordeum vulgare. RNAcentral's name for it is "long non-coding RNA (HVUL_LNC005981)". The record is from RNAcentral. Lineage: Eukaryota; Viridiplantae; Streptophyta; Magnoliopsida; Poales; Poaceae.